CCUGAACUUGAUGAGAGCUGAAGGAACCAGAUCUUCAUCUUCUAGUGUAGAGAUUCUCUCUCCUGCAGCAGGAAAAUGAGGGAUUACCCGUCGUUUGACCAUUACAGGAUCUAGCAGCUCAAACUCCAAAUUGGGGUCCUUUAGUGAUGUGCUCACAAACUUAUAGAGAGCACUAGUCGGUUCCCAAGGAGCAAAGACAGCCUGAAGCACCACUCCAUCAGGAAAUUGG
Molecule: unclassified non-coding RNA, 229 nt
Filed under: Hevea brasiliensis (rubber tree)
Lineage: Eukaryota; Viridiplantae; Streptophyta; Magnoliopsida; Malpighiales; Euphorbiaceae
Source: RNAcentral